Oncorhynchus keta (chum salmon) is the source of this 7041-nucleotide long non-coding RNA. RefSeq lists it as uncharacterized. The record is from RefSeq and is a predicted model, not a curated record. Lineage: Eukaryota; Metazoa; Chordata; Actinopteri; Salmoniformes; Salmonidae. The transcript has 4 exons.
CAUGUUUUAUAUUUUAUUUAUGCGUUUUGUGUAGCGCCUGCAGGGUUGAAAUAUGCUACCCUCUUUGUUUACUGUUGUGCUAUUAUCAGAUAAUAGCUUCUUAUGCUUUCGCCAAAAAGCCUUUUAAAAAUCUGAAAUGUUAGCUGGAUUCACAACGAGUGUAGCUUUAAUUGAGUGUCUUACAUGUGUGAUUUAAUGAAAGUUUGAUUUUUAUAUAAUUUUAUUUGAAUUUGCCGCGCUGCAUUUUCCCUGGCUUUUGGCCAAGUGGGACGCAUACGUACCCUAUACCAUAAGAAGCUAAACUGUUGUUUUGGUCUGUCCUCUUUCGAAGCUAUGAUGAUAGUGACUGAAGAUGGUAUCUUGAUGCAUGGAAGGAAUAAAUUAACGAUAACAGUGUGAACUUCACGCCCCCAACCUGCUGAAGAAAUGGUGUUCACUAUGAACUUAUCCUUCACCACCCCCACCGUGAGACCGGAGUCCGAGCCAGCAACCAGUACACAGCAUCCAGUCGAAGCUAUCAACUUCUCUCAGGAGUGUGACAUGGUUUACACACUCGGAAGCUUAUUGUAAUUUGGAUUCAAAUGCAUUGAGAUACCGAUCUGUCAUUAACAUGCCUCUCGAGACCGUAAAACAGGGACAAACUGGGGCUAUAAUGUUAUAAAGUUAAUACGGGUAAUUUAUGGUCCCGUUUUAUGGUCCACAUUCUAACCUUGUCGGUGUGUGCUAAGUUGAGGGUCUUGAAUUUGAGUGAUAGACUCAACAUGGAGCACUAAGGACUGUCAUUCUAAAUUUGGGUUGUAUAACCAUGAUGAGGACAUUGUUAGUAGGGGUUUUGUUUUACCAUGUUAUCAGAAUUCUAAUGUUAAAGCGCAUCAAUACAUAUGGCUUUCUGGAUGAUACAGUACAAUUGACUUGACUCACUUGACUCACAAAUGUCGUCUUGAAAAUGACCGGACCAAGGUGCAGCGUGGUGAGCGUAAAUGCUAGCUAGCUAAAUGAAUGUUUCAUGUGUUUCGACCAAAUUAAUAUAGUUGGUUCAGAGUUUGUUUUGAUAUUUCAACCUGCGUGUCCUAAUCUGAGUAUGUGAGCAGGGGGCCUGCUCAGCGGUUUAAGAUACUGCAUCGCAGUGUUAGAGGCGUCACUACAGACCCAGGUUCGAUACCAGGCUGUGUCGCAGCUGACCACGACCAGAAGACCCAUGAGGCGACGUACAAUUGGCCCAGCAUCAUCCGGGUUAGGGGAGGAUUUGGCCGGACGGAAUGUCCUUGUCCCAUCCCGCUCUAGCGACUCUGUGUGGCGGGCUGGGCGCAUGCACACUGACUUCGGUCACCAGUUGUACAGUGUUUCCUCCGACACAUUGGUGCGGCUGGCUUCCGGGUUAAGUGUCAAGAUGCUGUGUGGCAGGGUUGUGUUUCGGAGGAUGCAAGGCUCGUGACCUCCGCCUCUCCCGAGUCCGUAUGGGAGCUGCAGUGAUGGGACAAUACUGUAACUACCAAUUGGAUAUUACAAAAAAAGGGGAAUAUAAAUAAAUUAGUUUGGGUUGGCAAUUCUGCUCAUCGAUCAUGGAGCGGUGCUACAUGUCCUUUCCUACCGCUCACAGAAAAAAAGAAACUCCCGCUGUAUUUAUUAGAAUCACAAUUUAACCAACACCCAUCUAUUUUUGUGACUACCUGGACCUACCAAUUGGUAUUUAAGUAUUGAAACCAAACCAUACGGAUUUGAAUGAAAAGUAUUUGAAUAAACAUGAAAAGGUGAAUGUAAGAAAUUAACGUAAUUUCAAAUAGACUAGCUAUCAGUAAUUUUCAAAUCUGACUUCUCUAUGUGGCCGUGUAUGGAAAUUGUCUUUCCAUACAAUGGUCGUCUGUUAAGUUGUAGUAAUGAAGCAAAACUGUAGGAGCUAUCGAAACCGUUAUUCUAGACCGGAACCCUGGCGCCUUGACUAAAACAAGCUGGUGAGCUAUAGGGAGAAGGCAGUAUGGGUUUUCGAGAGCCAUAUAGUAGCUAGCGACUACAUGAUAAUGAUGGCAAAGUUGUUUCCUACUAAACAUUUUCCUACUUUAGCAAUACCAUCAUAAAGUGAAUCUGUAAAGAAUUCAGACCCCUUGACUUGUUCCACAUUUUGUUACGUUACAGCCUUAUUCUAAAAUUGAUUCAAUAGUUUUUUUCUCUCACCUAUCUACACACAAUACCCCAUAAUGACAAAGCAAAAUACGUUUUUUAUACACUUUUGCAAAUGUAUAGAAAAAAAAACUGAAAUAUCACAUUUAAAUAAGUAUUCAGACCCUUUACUUAGUACUUUGUUGAAGCACGUUUGGCAGCGAUUACAGCCUCGAGUCUUCUUGGGUAUGGCGCUACAAGCUUGGCACACCUGUAUUUGGGGAGUUUCUCCCAUUCUUCUCUACAGAUCCUAUCAAGCUUUGUGGGGAGCGUGGGGAGAGUGGGGACUGUGUACUGGGCACUGGCUGGGCCACUCAAGGACAUUCAGAGACUAGUUCUGUAGCCAUUCCUGCACUGUCUUGGCUGUGUGCUUAGGGUCGUUGUCCUGUUGAAAGGUUAACUGUCGCCCCAGUCUGAGGUCCUCAGUGCUCUGGAGCAGGUUUUCAUCAAGGAUCUCUCUGUACUUUGCUCCGUUCAUCUUUCCCUCUAUCCUGACUAGCAUCCCAGUCCCCGAAAAGGAGAAACAUCCUCACAGCAUGAUGCUACCACCACCAUGCUUCACCAUAGGGAUGGUGCCAGGUUUCCUCCAGACAUGACGCUUGACCAUAAAGGCCUGAUUGGUGGUGUUUUGCAGAGAUGUUUGUCCUUCUGGAAUGUUCUCCCAUCUUCACAGAGGAACUCUGGAGCCCUGUCAGAGUGACCAUCGGGUUCUUGGUCACCUUCCUGACCAAGUACCUUCUCUCCCGAUUGCUCAGUUUGGCCAAGCAGCUAGCUCCAGGAAGAAUUGUGGUUGUUCCAAACUUCUUCCAUUUAAGAAUGAUGGAGGCCACUGUGUUCUUGCAGACCUUCAAUGCUUCAGACAUGUUUUGGUACCCUUCCCCAGAUCUGUGCCUCGACACAAUCCUGUCUCAGAGCUCUACAGACAAUUCCUUCAACCUCAUGGCUUGUUUUCUGCUCUGACUGCACUGUCAACUGUGGGACCUUAUAUUGACAGGUUGAAUCAAGCCUUUCCAAUCAAUUUAAUUAGCCACAGAUGGUCUCUAAUCAAGUUGUUGAAACAUCUCAAGGAUAAUCAAUGGAAACAGGAUGUACUUGAGCUCAAUUUCAAGUCUCAUAGCAAAGGGUCUGAAUACGUAUGUAAAUAAGGUAUCAGUUUUUAAUUUUUAACACAUGCUUCACCAUUAUGGAGUAUUGUGUGUAGAUUGAUAAGGACAAAUAAAUAUUUAAUACAUUUUAGAAUAAGGCUGUAACGUAAAAAAAUGUGGCAAAAGUCAAGGGGUCUGAAUUUCCGAAUGCACUGUAUGUCCAUACCACUAUAGUGCGUGGCCACGCAGUCGUGGGUGAACAGGGAGUACAGGAGAGGGCUCAGAACGCACCCUUGUGGGGCCCCAGUGUUGAGGAUCAGCGGGGUGGAGAUGUUGUUGCCUACCCUCACCACCUGGGGGCGGCCCGUCAGGAAGUCCAGUACCCAGUUGCACAGGGUGGGGUCGAGACCCAGGGUGUCGAGGUUGAUGACGAGCUUGGAGGGCACUAUGGUGUUAAAUGCCGAGCUGUAGUCGAUGAAAAUAAUUCUCACAUAGGUAUUCCUCUUGUCCAGAUGGGUUAGGGCAGUGUGCAGUGUGGUUGAGAUUGCAUCGUCUGUGGACCUAUUUGGGCGGUAAGCAAAUUGGAGUGGGUCUAGGGUGUCAGGUAGGGUGGAGGUGAUAUAGUGCAAUUUAGACAAAACCGUCAUUAACCUCCGUCUAUCACAACUUUUGGGCACCAGUAGGGUUCCGCCGGCAGAGGGCGGCUUGAGAACGUUCAUAACAAUGGCAUGAAAAGACCCAGUGACAGCAGUGCAACCUAUAAAUAGCAGCAUUUGUUGAGCAUUUGUCUAUUUUGCCAGCUCUCAGACUGUUGGUGUCUGUCUGUCUGUCUGUCUGUCUGUCUGUCUGUCUGUCUGGGAGUUCCAGACGUGGCUGGGAGGAGUGGUGGUGGCCACUGGAAGGCAACUUUACUAGAGCAUAUGUAGGAGCUCAUCGUCAUGAAGUUCAUCUAUAACAGCUGAUACAAUUCGUCUUCUUCCAAGCUGGAUCUACGGAACGCCUACCACCUGGUGCGGAUACGAGAGGGGGACGAGUGGAAGACGGCCUUCAACGCGGCCAGUGGUCAAUACGAAUAUCUGGUCAUCACAUUUGACCAGCGCCCCUGCUGUGUUCCAGGCUCUGGUGAAUGAUGUUCUCCACGACAUGUUUUACCGGUUCAUCUUUGUCUACAUUGAUGACAUCCUCGUCUUCUCCCGCUCCCCUCAAGAACACAUGCUCCACGUCCGGUAGGUCCUUCAAAGCCUUCUGGAGAAUCAGCUGUUUGUGAAGGCGGAGAAGUACGAGUUCCAUCACUCCACCAUCCCCUUUCUGGGUUACAUCAUCUCUGCUGGGAGUUUCCAGAUGGAUCCCGGGAAGGUGAGAGCAGUGAUGGAAUAGCUCAGCCUACGUCCAGGGUGCCGCUGCAACGUUUCAUGGGGAUCGGCAAUUUCUAUCGCAGCUUUAUCCGGGUUUACAGCACCCUGGAUUACCCCCUGUCAGCACUCACCUCGCCCAAGUUUGCUGUUCACACAGUUCAACUUCUCUCUCUCGAACCGGCAGGGAUCCAAUAAUGUCAAGCCGGAUGCACUGUCCCGCCACUAUAGACCCAUGACAACUACCCGAAACCAUCCCUCCCACCUCAUGUCUGCCGACGGCACUCAGCUGGGGAAUAGGGAAGCAGGUCAGUGAGGCACAAACAGCAGCCAAACUCUUGGGGGGGUCCUUCAUUCCCGACACUGUGCGCUCCGCAGUCCUGGAGUGGGACCACUCCUCCAGGCUGGUCUGCCACCCGGGUACCCAUCGGACCCUGGCCUUUGUGCGACAGCGCUUUUGGUGGCCUACCAUGGUCGCGGAUGUGUCCGCAUUCAUCACCGCUUGCACAGUUUGUGCACAGAACAAGACUCCUCGGCAAGCUCCGUCUGGUCUGCACCAACCUCUGCCUGUCCCCCACUGUCCCUGGUCUCACAUCUCCCUGGACUUUGUCACGGGUCCUCCCCCACCUGAUGUCAACACCGUCAUCCUGACUGUGGUGGAUCUGUUCUCCAAAGCCACCCAUUUCAUUCCUUUCCCAAAAUACCCUCUGCCAAAUAGACCGCCCAGCUCACGGUACAGCACGUCUUCCGGAUCCAUGGACUGCCCAUUGACAUGGUCUCCGACCGGGGCUCUCAGUUCUCCAUCCCAGUUCUGGAAGGCAUUCUACACCCUCAUUGGGUUGUCGGCCAGCCUGUCCUCCGGGUUCCACCCCGAGUCCAACGACCAGUCGGAGCGAGCCAACCAGGACAUCGAGACCACCCUGCGCUGCCUGGUUUCCGCCAAACCCACCACUUGGAGCCAGUAGCUUGUGUGGGUCGAAUAUGCCCGCAACACUCUUCCCUGCUCUGCCACGGGCCUAUCUCCCUUCGAGUGUUUUCCUGGGGUAUCAGCCCCCACUCUUCCCUGAGCAGGAAGAGGUGGUCGGCAUACCUUCUGCCCAGAUGUUUGUCCUCUGCUGUCGUCGUACCUGGAGGAGAGCCCGGUCGGCCCUCCUCAAGACCACCUCCAGGUAUCGAUGACAAACGGAUCGCCAUCGGACCCCGGUAUCAUCUCGGGCAGAAGGCCCACCCCUACUCCCGUGUCGUCGAUGGCCAUCCGGCAUACACGGUGAGACGCCUCCUGAGGGUUCGACCACGGGGCAGAGGUUUCCAGUACCUGGUUGAGUGAGAGGGUUAUGGCCUGGAGUAGAGGUGCUGGGACCCCGCUAGAGACAUCCUGGUCCCCGCUAGAGACCUCAUCGCCGACUUCCACCACUGGCACCCCGGUCAACCAGGUAUGCGCCCAGUUCGUCUUGUUUGUCAAGCUUGCCAGCGUUUGUCCUGUCAGCUCCUGUUUUUUCCUAGUCUCUCUUUUUCUCGCCCUCCUGGUUUUUGACCCUUGCCAGUCCUGACCCUGAACCUGCCCAACUGACCACUCUGCCUCUGACCCUGAGCCUGCCUGUCGUCCUGUACCUUUGCCUCUGUUGCUGUAAUAAACAUUGUUACUUCGACACAGUCUGCAUCUGGGUAUUUCCUUAUCCUGAUACUAAUUCAUAUUUAUUUAAUGUACAGGUUCCACUUUGACCAAGAUUACAAUCCAGACUAAGAAUUUGCAAAAGUUAAGAUCAUAAUGAAUACUAUUAUAUGGAUAGAGUGGACCUGAUCCUAGAUCAACACUACUAUGGUGGCGAAUUCUCUCUCCAUCAUCCUUUUUUUGACUUCAUAUUGACCCCGUGGUAUAUGAUUAGCAGAUGCGUUUGAGUGGACAUACAGAUCUGGGACUAGGCUAACAACAGAAGCUCUUCUCAACUAUUGGCAAGAAUUUAAUUCACAUCCAUUCACCAUGAGCGAUGCUUUAUUCCGCAUUCAAUACUUCUAUUGCAGGAGAGAGAAGCACCUAUCAGAUCCCCCCUGCUGACCGUCGCUGAGGCCAGGAAGAAGUUUGUCUGCCGAAGUAGGAGACAACUUCGUAGUCAUAAAGCGCUCUACUGACUGAGCUAGACUAUGCUUUGAGUAGCAACUGAUUGAUUGACUGACAGGCAGUCAGAGACACAAACUCUCACAUUUGACUUGACCUUAUAUUGGACAGCACUCUACUCACACUCACACAUGUGGUCGUGGUGGCUCAGUUGGUAGAGCAUGGCGCUUGUAACGCCAGGGUAGUGGGUUCGAUUCCCGGGACCACCCAUACGUAGAAUGUAUGCACACAUGACUGUAAGUCGCUUUGGAUAAAAGCGUCAGCUAAAUGGCAUAUAUUAUUAUUAUUAUUAUUAUAUUACAUAUCCUCCCCUCUCUCUCUUUCAUCUUCC